RNAcentral lists this ribosomal RNA (112 nucleotides) under Acanthosepion pharaonis. The record is from RNAcentral. Lineage: Eukaryota; Metazoa; Mollusca; Cephalopoda; Sepiida; Sepiidae.
ACGGUCACAUCACGUUGAAACAUCGAUUCCCGUAUGAUCACAGAAGUUAAGCAACGUCGAGCCUGGCCAGUACCUAGAUGGGUGACCGUUUAGGAAUACCAGGUGCUGUAAG